GACGAACGCUGGCGGCGUGCCUAAUACAUGCAAGUCGAACGCUUCUUUCCUCCCGAGUGCUUGCACUCAAUUGGAAAGAGGAGUGGCGGACGGGUGAGUAACACGUGGGUAACCUACCCAUCAGAGGGGGAUAACACUUGGAAACAGGUGCUAAUACCGCAUAACAGUUUAUGCCGCAUGGCAUAAGAGUGAAAGGCGCUUUCGGGUGUCGCUGAUGGAUGGACCCGCGGUGCAUUAGCUAGUUGGUGAGGUAACGGCUCACCAAGGCCACGAUGCAUAGCCGACCUGAGAGGGUGAUCGGCCACACUGGGACUGAGACACGGCCCAGACUCCUACGGUAGGCAGCAGUGGGGAAUCUUCGGCAAUGGACGAAAGUCUGACCGAGCAACGCCGCGUGAGUUAAGAAGGUUUUCGGAUCGUAAAACUCUGUUGUUAGAGAAGAACAAGGACGUUAGUAACUGAACGUCCCCUGACGGUAUCUAACCAGAAAGCCACGGCUAACUACGUG
Molecule: ribosomal RNA, 508 nt
Filed under: uncultured bacterium
Lineage: Bacteria
Description: partial 16S ribosomal RNA
Rfam family: Bacterial small subunit ribosomal RNA
Source: RNAcentral